This 585-nucleotide ribosomal RNA is filed under the name Escherichia coli. Its description in RNAcentral is "bacterial SSU rRNA". It matches the Rfam family "Bacterial small subunit ribosomal RNA", at positions 79 to 657 of the family's 1533-position model. Lineage: Bacteria; Pseudomonadati; Pseudomonadota; Gammaproteobacteria; Enterobacterales; Enterobacteriaceae. The record is from RNAcentral.
CUUGCUGCUUCGCUGACGAGUGGCGGACGGGUGAGUAAUGUCUGGGAAACUGCCUGAUGGAGGGGGAUAACUACUGGAAACGGAAGCUAAUACCGCAUAACGUCGCAAGACCAAAGAGGGGGACCUUCGGGCCUCUUGCCAUCGGAUGUGCCCAGAUGGGAUUAGCUAGUACGUGGGGUAACGGCUCACCUAGGCGACGAUCCCUAGCUGGUCUGAGAGGAUGACCAGCCACACUGGAACUGAGACACGGUCCAGACUCCUACGGGAGGCAGCAGUGGGGAAUAUUGCACAAUGGGCGCAAGCCUGAUGCAGCCAUGCCGCGUGUAUGAAGAAGGCCUUCAGGUUGUAAAGUACUUUCAGCGGGGAGGAAGGGAGUAUAGUUAAUAUCUUUGCUCAUUGACGUUACCCGCAGAAAAAGCAUCGGUUAACUCCGUGCCAGCAGACGCGGUAAUACGGAGGGUGCAAGCGUUAAUCGGAAUUACUGGGAGUAAAGUGUACGGAGGUGGUUUGUUAAGUUAGAUGUGAAAUGAGCGGGGUUAAUCUGGGAAGUGUAUUUGAUAGUGGUAAGGUUGAGUUUUGUAGAGG